Long non-coding RNA from Limulus polyphemus (Atlantic horseshoe crab), 10493 nucleotides. RefSeq lists it as uncharacterized. The transcript is spliced from 6 exons. Lineage: Eukaryota; Metazoa; Arthropoda; Merostomata; Xiphosura; Limulidae. The record is from RefSeq and is a predicted model, not a curated record.
GAAUAUUUCGGCAAGAAUGUGGAUUGAUCCCCUUUGAAUGGUUUACCAUGAGUGUAUGAAAAAUAACAUACUGGUCAAUGACUUACUAACAAGUUAUAAAUACUUCGGCAAUUGUCUUGUAAUUCAUUCCUGACGAUGAGGUUGUAACGUCGAAACAUGUGAAGUCUUGGACUUUUUGAAGGCUACAGAUAGGCCUAGAUAAAAUGUUUUUAAUAGUGUACGAGUUUAACGUUGAAUAUUAUUUAUGAUUUUAACUUUAUACAGAAGUGCCGAAAUAGUAUAAUUAUGUUAAGAUUAGUUAAUACAAGUUGUUUUAAAUAUGGGAGUGGUAGGUUCUAACUUAAAAACAACAACAAGUAAUCUUACUUGAAAACUGAAAGCACAGGCAGUAGUAUUUAUGUUUUGAGCAUUUGAGCUAGAACUAAGUACAUUACUAUGGAAAUUGUAUUUAUAUUUUGAAAUAAUAAUCUUUGUAUAUGUGUAAUAUUAUUUGUUCUGUGAGUUACCAUCUCGGUAUUUAUGUUGUUGUAGGUAAAAGUAAAGAUGCUGAAAUUGAAUCAAAAAUAAACAAGGAAUGGCAAAUAUUCGUUCAAAAUUCAGAGGUAAAGGCCAUUUUUUAUUAUGUUUUAUAUUAACGUGAAUAUCUUUUAUAUGGAAAUUAUUCAUCCGAAGUCCAGGUGUAAAUACCAUCAUUGGCCAUUGAAGCUUUUCAAAAGAUUGUAUGUAUAACUAUGUUUGAUGUUCAGGUGACAGGACCCUUGAUGGAUACCAGAAGAAGUAUGAUUGCAAAUUGCUAUUUAUUUUCAUUCUUGGUCAUGAUAUUGACUUUGGUCACAUGGAAGCUGUCAAUUUUCUAAGCUCCAAUAAGUAUUUCUAAAAUCAGAUACUAAAAGUUGAAUGUAUACAAGUAUUUUGAGAAGCAGAUAGUAACUGUUGAAUGUAUACAAGUAUUUUGAGAAGCAGAUAGUAACUGUUGAAUGUCUACAAGUAUUUUGAGAAGCAGAUAGUAACUGUUGAAUGUCUACAAGUAUUUUGAGAAGCAGAUAGUAACUGUUGAAUGUCUACAAGUAUUUUGAGAAGCAGAUAGUAACUGUUGAAUGUCUACAAGUAUUUUGAGAAGCAGAUAGUAACUGUCGAAUGUCUCUUUACAUCUUUGUGAUUGAUGUUUAUGUGCCAACAAUUUCUGUUAUUAGUAUUAACUUCCAAUCGGAGUAAAACUAAAAUUGAAGCUGGUAUUAGUAAUGACUAUAGCUAAUUAAAUAUACUUUCUAACAUUCUUUCAUCAGUUGAAUAUUCUCAAUGUUAACUGUAUUUUCAGAUGUAGUUCAAGUAAUAUCUCCCAAAAUUUGGCCAGCAAAGAAGAUAUAGAGCCAACAAUGAACAAUUAAAACUGAUUGUCCAGUCAAUUAAGAAUGACCUGUGUUCUCGAAACCCCAUUCACGUCAAUCUUGCUCUGCAGUGCAUCACUAACAUAGGUAGUAAGGAGAUGGACGAAACUUUCGGACCUGAAAUUCCAGAACUGCUAGUCUCUGGAUUGUAACAUCGUCAUACACAGAUCUGCAAGACUAACUAUUAUAUUGUCCCUGCUCCCUGGCUAUCUGUGAAGCUUUUGAGGUUUCUUCAGAAUUAUUCAGUACUUGAGGAUCCUGGAGUUCUAGGAUGGUUGACAGUGUCUAGAAACCACUUUAAAUUGAGCCCAAGAACCUCCAAAAUCAUUACUCCAAAAAUGCUGUUCUGUUUGAAGCAAUUAGCCUCAUCAUACACAUGGACAGUGAACCAAAUCUUCUCAUUAGGGCUAGCAAUCAGCUGGGUCAGUUCUUGCAGCAUCGAGAGAUUAACUUAAGGUACUUGGCACUAGAAAGCAUGUGUUUGUUGGCCACUUCAGAGUUUUCCCAAGAAGCCGUUGAAAAACAUCCGGAAACUGUUGUCACUGUACUGAAGGUUAGUACAUACUGUGGACAACUUGUGUGAUUAGUAGUGGAACCAUAGAAAAAAUGUUCCUAAUGUUUAGAAUCUAAGAUUGCUGAGUGAACUUGAAAGGAUGAAGAUGGACCUCUGAUCAUCCAUUUUCUUAUGAAAAUAUCUUUUUUGAUGAUGAACGUGAUAGCAAUUUCUGUUCCAGAUAUUUUGAGAGAGAAACAAUCUGUGAAGUGUAUAUAUACUAAUAAUUCCAUAUAUAUGGAACUCCAGAAAGUAGGUGUUAAAAACUCAAGUGAAUUUUAUGUUUUUAUUAUUUAGAAUAUGCUUUAACUUUAUGGAAUGCUUUACCUAGUAUAUUGUUUUUGCUAAAGUACCUCUGUAUUCAGUAUUGUAAAGUUUCAUUGUUUUCAGUUUUAAUGUUAAAAUGUUUCAUUUUGUUCUUAGUACUGCAUCGAGUUUAAGUUUAUAUUUGUUUGAUUGAACUAUCCAUAUGUUUUAUCACUUUAACUCUUCUGUUUUCUCCUUACCUUAUUUUGAAAAAGAAAAGAAAUUAGUGUUUCUCAUGGUUAUUACAUAUAUAUGGAAAUAUUCGGUGAGAUGCUGAAUUACCUGGAGACAGCUGAUUAUUCAAUAUGGGAAGAAAUGGUAGAACUUGGACAUCUCUAAGUUUAACUCAUGAGAUGCUGAAUUAACAAGAGACAGUUGUUUGAUACUUUGUCUGUGACGGAAUACACUUCUGGCUCGUUACUCGUUCUAAGAGUCUGGUGGAAUGUUCCAUUAUUAUUAAACUUCAGAGCAUAACAUUACAUGGGAAGGUGACAAUGUGUUGGUGAGAAAAUGGAGAGGGAUAUGUGAAAAAAAUUCUAUAACAACUGGUUUACAAAGUACGACAGAAAUAUUAAACACAAGAUAUCAAAGUGUCUAUAGAACAGAAGAUGAAGUGUGAGAAAAAAGUGUAUUAAGUAAACUUUUUAAGCAAAUGUGUUCGUAGAAAUGUGGUAAUGAUACAAUAAAAAAUGGCACGUGCUAUUCCUAUUUUUAAUACUUAGAAUACACAUGUAAUGCAUGCGGGGGGGAAAAAAGGUAAGUAUGAUGGAUAAAUGAACAGAAAUGACAUUAAGAUCUUUUUAAAAGUCAUAAUUUUUGACAACAUGCCCAGAAACUGUGUUUGAAUGGAACUCUUCAAUAGUUGUUGAUAAUUGGUACUGUUCGACCCAAUGCUACUGCGUUCAACUGGCUCCCAUACUAUAGCAUGGAAAAUAUUUUUCCAAUUAUCGGAUGGUUUUCAUUUUGGUACGGUCUCUGCCUCGGGUACGUGGAGAGGAGAGCCUUGGCAUCAACUGUCUCUUGACCAUACUAUCAAAGUUGGGUCCAUAUAAAUUUUUUUCCUCUCCAACCAAAACUGAUGCUGUCACACCAUGUGUUGCCUCAAUAAUAUGCUACAGAAAUCUUAUACGGCUCGAUGCUUCCGUGAUAAGGAUUGAAAAUAUUUUACGACUAGGGUGUAAUCGUGAGUUUGGUACAUCGUCUAAGGUUUGUUCCACUAAUAUAACAUUAGUUCUAUCCAUCGCUACGAUGUUUAUGUUAAUCCUCUAGAAUUCUAUGUUGGUUAGCUGUUCGAAAUUUUCAAUGUCCCAUAUUUGCAGGUUCCAAGUUCUACAACAAUUUGUUCACCAAAGUCUGACAUUGGCGGGUCCCAAGCCCAUCAAAGGUUUACCCUUCACAAUUUUUAAAAUUCUGACAUUGGUGAGUUCAGAGUUCACCAACGAAUCUGUAAGUAAAUGAAGAGUAUCCAAUUUCUUGCUGAAAAAUCUCCCAGUCAGAGGCUGAGUCUCAAUAGAUCACAAUAUGGUAGCUGCUAUACUAAGUAUGACACCUCAACCUAUAAUUAGGUCGCCUGCGGACGAUUUAGUGCCCACACAUUUCACCUUGUGGUUUGGUAUCAAAAAGCAAUGGGUACCAUCUGCCUUAAUACCGGUCAGAUGUUCUCUUUAAAAGGACUUCUUUGAUGUUGUCUAUUCUUUGUGAGGAGAACUCUCCCUCCAUAUAUGGUCACCCUUAAAUGUAGGGGGCACGAAUGGUAUCAUUGCAGUGGCUAGACAGGAUUCUGACUUAGAGGCACUCAUUCAUAAUCCCAUGGAUGGUAGCUUUGCAUCACUGGUCGCUCUAACAAGAAUAUAUACCAAUUGUCAGAACCUUCGGUUCCUCAUGUACUGAGAAGGAUUAUUAUCGCAAUGACUAGUCAUCAGUAGGGUAAAACUAAUUUGUGUCACGAUGGUCUAAACCUAGCUCACGUUCCCUAUUAGUGGGUGAACAAUCCAAUCCUUGGCGAAUUCUGCUUUGUAAUGUUUGGAAGAGCCAACAUUGAAGGAACAAAAGCGACGUCGCUAUGAACACUUGGCCGCUACAAGCCAGUUAUCCCUGUCGUAGCUUUUCUGACACCUCUUGCUUAAAACUACUAAAGUCAAAAGAAUCAGUAGGCCCCACUUUCGAGGUCCGUAUUCAUACUGAAAAUCAAGAGCAAGCAAGCAUUUGCCCUAUUGCUCUACUUAUCAUUUGUGUCCUCGCUGCGCUUACUUUUGGGCACCAGUGUUACCUUUUGACAGAUGUACUGCCCCAGUGAAACUCUCCGCCUAACACUGUCCUCUGAGCAGAUCCUGCCAGACUCGAUGGUCCGGCACUUAGGACUAGAAACGUGGACCCUGGGGUGUGCUCUCCACUUCACCAAUUCAAUAAAGAAACUAUGAAAAUAGUGGUAUUUCAAUGGAGGCUGCAGAGUGACCUCCCAUUUAUGCUACACCUCUCAUGUUUCUUCAGAGAGUCAGAUUAGAGUCAAGCUCAAUAGUGUUUUUUUCCCCCACUGAUUUCUCCAAGCCCGUUCCCUUGCUUGUGGUUUUGCUAGAUAGUAGAUAGGGGGAGUGAAAAUCUCGUUAGUCUAUCCAUGUACAUCACAAAUUAAAUGACUAGGUAUUUGGCUAUUUUUAUAAGAACAACAGGAUGUUGGAAAUAUGACGUCGUUCCUCAGGUCGUAUCUCUCUCUGCCCCUGAGUAGGCUGACAAAAUUUCAGACUUUUACAAGUACACUUAUUGCCUCUAACAUAAUACAUUUACAAGUUAAUGUUCACUUUUUCAAAUGGUCAGCAAGAAUGAUGAACAUGUCCAUAAUGUUUUCUCCAUAGUAUGUAGUAGUAGUAGUAAGUGGGAUAUGUUUAUUUUAUCCUAAUUCAUGCACUUCAUGACUACUACUCAGAGACACUCAUCCUCCACAUCCAGCAGACAAUGCCAUAACACUUGUUAGUUUAUCUUGUCCUUCCCUAUGACACCAUUGUUUUAUGUUUUCCUUUGUUUAUAUAGUAGUUAACCUUGGAAAUAUAUCAGAUAUCCAAACAAUUAGAUCCAGUUUCCACUGGAUGCUUCAAACGUCUAUGCUGGGACAAACCAACUUUAACUAGAAAGCUUCUAGAAUAUGUCACAAAUGUAAAGAUUGCCUCAGAUUGCAGUUGCUCUACAUUAGGUCCUUUACACUUUGCAAAAUGACUAGCUACAGCAAAUAUACUAUUCCAUAUCUUAUUACAUUUCAUACAUGUAAUAGUAUAGUCUGUAUGAUUAGAAGAUGCAUGUUUCUUAAAUGCACUAUGAUUGGCAAACAGUCAGUUACACAGAUAUUAGCUUCCAUUUUGUAAAAGUAAUCAAUUAUAAGGGCUUGUCCAUGGUCCAUCCGAGUCGUAAACCAAAUUGUUUAUCAAAUUGAUGCCUAUUUUCCUUCGAGCUUCAAAAUCAGGUAUAAGGGGUGCUAGCUGAGGACCUCCUUGUUAGGGCAUACGUUUGCUCUCAGGGCCAGACACUUCACCCAGUGGUGUGGCUUCAUACCAACUGGCUUGGGCAACCAUUACUUGGCAGAUCUUGACCCUUUGAAGAGCUCCACACUUUCACCAUGCAAGGCCAACCUUUUCCAGUUUCUCCUUUCCAUAUCCCUCCAUUUGGAAUAAUGUUCCGGAUCACUGGUCAGGCGUAGGGAUCGGAAGCCCAGCCUUUUGAGCAAUACCAUCGAUGGCUCCCAAUAGACCAUCAUUUUCCACCAAAGUCUAUGUGACGGGAUCAGUCAAGUGCACAAGUCUCAAAUACGGUUGGAUCUUAAGACACGGGAAAGAGACUCGAGUUUUACUACAGCUAAUUCCCCAUCACAAUGACGGGAGUAUAGCAGACUGUCUGCCAUACAGGCAGGCAGGUGACACCAACGUUUGACAGCCUGUUUGACGAUACUGUCUAGUUCCUUGAGUUAUUUCAGCUUCGGAUUGCCCAGCUCAAGUUGGUUAACUAGCCGUGGCAAACCAUACUUACAGAGUAUGUCGACCUUCUAAUGUGGCUUGAAGGGUGACUGUGAUUUGCACGAUCCAUUUCUCUAGUGUGGAUUUAACAGGCACACUGUUAAUCCCAGUCCACGGACAGACGCUAGCACCUAGAUAACUGGAAAUUUUUCAGGACUGAUGAUGGGAGCAUUUCACAAUUUACUGUCCAGGAAGGGCAGUCAUUAAUGGUAAAGGUCUUAUUCAACCCCCUAAUCAGCAUUCCUGCACUUUGGGCAAUGUUAAGGCUAAGUCAAUUUCCUGAACAAAAUUUCUCCACGAUGUUCAACAUCGACUGAACAUUGGCAUGAUCUUUAGCCAUUAGUGCCAUAUCAUCAGCAUAUGCUAAGGUUAAGACGGGGACCUGUCCUUUCCCAAGCAUAAAGCCUUGGCUCUUCUCUUCCAGUUGACGAAGGAGAGGAUCCAGAGCAAAGUUAAACAGUGUAGGAGACAUGGGUCCCCUUUUUUGAUGCCCCUCAUUAGAACAAUGGGGCUGGUAGACUGGCUGCCUACUCGAAAGGACGUCGAACAACCACUGUACAUGUCUUUCACAAUUCGAAUGAAAUGCGUGCAGACAGUGAACCUUUCUAGGCUGUUCAGAAGAUGUUUGUGACCAACUGUGUUGAAAGCCUUUGACAAGUCAAGAAGCCCUAGAGCCAGAGUUUCUCUCUGCUUAGCUCUCCUCCUAGCAGACUGUAAUACAAAUAUAUUAUCUCUACAUCCAGCCUGAGGGAUUAAUCCCUCGCUGUCGGGAUUAAUAUGCUCUACCUGCUCGAGAUGGCGUGCCAAAAUCCUGGUAUAUAGCCGCAACACAACUGAGGAGAUUGUGGCCGCCAGUUUUUGAUACCCCACAGACCACUCUUCCCUUUCGGGAUGAACACUGACCUGUUGUACUUCAUGCACUCAGGGAUGCAUCCUGAGAAUUGCCACAGGUUGAACACAUUUACCAAGGAUGCCAUACUUUAGACCUUUUUGGAGGAACAGAAGGGUAAUGUUGUCAGGGCCGGAUGCCCCGUUAUUCAUACCCUGAAGUGAGUGCAUCACUUUGGUUGGAGUAAGCUGUUUCAAGAGGUUGGUGUUAUUGGCCCAUGAUGGCCUGGGGCAGUUAUCUAGAGAAACUAUCAUUUUACACACCAUAGACCUGAUCGUAGUGGUCUUUGACCUCCUCCUUUUUGAGGCUACAUGUGAUGGCUUCCUAGCCAUCUAGUAUUUUCUCGGCCAGGUGCUUUUGCUGGAGGUCAUAUAUCCUCUGAAACCGCUUAUAUCGUUCCACACGAUGGAGAUGCCUUUUGUAUGGUCUUGGUGCAGGUGCAUUAUUUUCUGUCACCUGCAUAGUUGUUCUCUCAUGAUUCCAAGACGCUUGAGUAUGGUCUAGGUUGUCUACCCAUUGUUGUGUCACGACUUUGAUCUCCUGCCAUACUGGUUCAAUGAGUCCUUUCUGAUCUCUCAGCUGAUCAAGGUACGAGCAGAACUUAGAGUCAGGGUCCGGAAAAGAAUGCACUCCUUCCCAGUCCAACUCCUCAUACUCCCCAACCUGCUCUGAGUGGUGGGUGCACCAUGUAUUUUUGAAGACCGUAUCUUGUGCAAAUCCUAGCACUUGUCCAAGAUCUAUUUGGAAGUCUUACCACGUAGAUGUCCCACACAGAAGAUAUUAAUGUUCUUUUUGCCCGAGUACACUACUUUCGCUUCCCGGAGUGUUUGUGUUUCUUCCUCAGACCAUACUACCUGAUGUGGGCGCACCGACGGUGUCAUGUGUCCUAGAGAGUGGAUAUGUUCGGCAUUCCUGAUACAGGGAUGCCGAUGAUGCUUAUGUUGCAAAAGCCCAGAUUUGGUCUUAAAUCUAUCAUUGCAAAUAUCACAAGUGAAUUUGCUCAAUUCCACAGCAAAUGUAACAGUUCACUGCAGAUGGAAUUUUGGAACAUGACAGGCUAUUGCAUGAUGAUUGCCAUCACUUUUACCGCAAUAUGAGCAGCAUGCCUGAGUUAGUGGAUUUUGGACGUUUGCCAAGAACUCAUGGGAACAUAGGUCGCAUGCCUCCUUUUCAAAGGGCAAAUGCACUGAUACCAGUGUGCCUACCCAUUCAAACCUACCCUCAGUUAUGCACAAUAACUGGUUCUCUACAGACAGGUUUGAGUUGUGUGUAGGUGGCAGACUUUUGCCCUCAGUCACGCACGGCGACUGGAUACUUACAGAAGAGCUGUCAGAAGCUCUAGGCAUAGUCCUUUCGUCAGUUUCGCCCUCAAUUACGCACCAUGACUGGAUACUUACAGACGAUCUGUCAGAAGCUCUAGUCGUAGCCGAACAGGUGUUCAUCAAUUCCUCAGUUCCUGAGUUCUGUCAAUUUCGCCCUCAGUCAUGCACGAUGACUGGAUACUUGCAGACGAGCUGUCUGAAGCUCUAGGCAUAGUUCUUUCAUCAAUUCUGCCCUCAAUCACACAUGAUGACUGGCUGCCUGUAGACGGGCUGUCUACAGCUAUAGGCAUUGUCCUAUCAUGAGGGGGACUAUUAGUUGUAGUCGAGUACAACCGGUUUGCUUGCAGGAUGAUGUUACCUGCAUUUAGAGCCCCGUUAAAGUCAGUGGUAGGGUCGUUUACAGAUCACCACUAUCUGUUGUAGUCGAGAACAACAGUGUUUCUUCUGAUUGAAUGGAGGUGUCUAUACCUACAGUGGUAUCUGAACUGUCGGGAGAAGUCGUAGCUAAGUCAGAACUGUAGGGGAUGGUGUUUUCUCCCUCAGCUAUAGUCGAAUAUAGCUGUCCUUCUGCUGACAUGAUGGAGUUGUCAGUAGGCAUAGUCUGACUUAGAUCGGGAUGAGACUCUAGAGAGUAUGUCAAAAAUCAGGUUAUCAACCACUGUAGUGGUUGUGUCACAAGAUGUCUCUUGCAGGGAGACAUUAGAAAACAAGCCAUCCACCUCAGUCGUUUGGCACAUAUCUUCCAAGAUAAGUAGUUUGCCUGUUGCACUGGGUACACUUUGGGUGUGUGACCAGGUGUUGGAAUAGGUAAUUAAUUCCUUUAUUCCUGUAGCAUGAAGUCCCACGUCGGUUUAUCCCUCGUCGCCAGAGAAUCGCUUGGAAGCUACCAUCCCCAGUUGGUGGCAAGUAGCUCGUAUCUGGCGGCCACCCUGGCACCCCAUGGAUGCCAAACCAUAGCUUAUUUCUGUAUUAAAACUUUCCAUUUCAAAAAAUGGUCUACUCUGAUAUAGGGCCGACUGGUUCCCUAUAAAAUGCAAAUACAGGGUAGGUUGUUAAAGAGUCAUAGUUACUCCUGCCGUUUACCAGCGCUUGGUUGAAUUUCUUCACCUUGACAUUCAGAGCACUGGGCAGAAAUUACAUUGAGUCAGAACCAUCCAACAGCCAUCACAAUGCUUUGUUUUAAUUAGAUAGUCGAAUUUCCCUAGUCUGUGCCAGUUCUGAGUUGUCUGUUAGUUGCUGGCCAAAACGGUCAUGCAAGGUGGACACCCAGCAUGGCGCACAGCUGAGGCCUUUCACGGGAAGGUCCCAAUGCUGGUACCACACCUGCAUCAGACUUCAGCCCAAUCAGACCCAGCUCUCACAGCCAAUCCUUGUCCCAAGGUUAUGAAUCCGUUUUGCCGACUUCCCUUACCCACAUCUAUAUGGGUACGGUCUGGCACGAAAAUCACACUCUCCCUCUUAUUUUCCAGGGAGAUCUUUUACAAAGGAAGAAAGCUCUUUCCGGGACUCCCGUUGACGUUUCAGAGUACGGUUGUGUUAUUGCACUUGAUCCAAAGGUUGAUGUCCGGGUUCAGGAAUACUAACCAGAUUCCUUUUUAAUCAAUCGUGGGACCUGCAGUGUUGGACAGGUCCCGCUUUUGAAAGGAUUGCUCCUAUCCCUUAGCAACGACUGACCCAUGUUCAACUGCUGUUCACAUGGACCCCUUCUCCACCUCAGUCCUGAAGGUUCUCACUUGAGUAUUUGCUACUACCACCAAGAACUAAGAAGAGCCAUGCACCACCUCUCACUGAAUCAAGAAAGAGCUCAUAAUCUGUCAUAAUCAUAAUCUAUAGGUUGAAAGACAAAGCAUUGCUCGACAAGAUAUAUAGGUUUAGGUUGAAAAAUAAAACAUUCAUCAGUAAUAUAGAUAGGUUUAAGUUGAAAACAAAGCAUUGGUCAACAACAUGUUUAGGUUGAAAAACAAAGCAUUGCUCAAUAAUAUAUGCAGGUGUAUGUUGAAAAAUCAAGCGUUACUCGUAUAUGUAUAUAUAUAU